AGUGAACGCUGGCGGCAGGCUUAACACAUGCAAGUCGAGCGCCCCGCAAGGGGAGCGGCAGACGGGUGAGUAACACGUGGGAAUCUACCCAUCCCUACGGAACAACUCCGGGAAACUGGAGCUAAUACCGUAUACGCCCUUUGGGGGAAAGAUUUAUCGGGGAUGGAUGAGCCCGCGUUGGAUUAGCUAGUUGGUGGGGUAAAGGCCUACCAAGGCGACGAUCCAUAGCUGGUCUGAGAGGAUGAUCAGCCACAUUGGGACUGAGACACGGCCCAAACUCCUACGGGAGGCAGCAGUGGGGAAUAUUGGACAAUGGGCGCAAGCCUGAUCCAGCCAUGCCGCGUGAAUGAUGAAGGCCUUAGGGUUGUAAAGUUCUUUCACCGAUGAAGAUAAUGACGGUAGUCGGAGAAGAAGCCCCGGCUAACUUCGUGCCAGCCGCCGCGGUAA
RNAcentral lists this ribosomal RNA (447 nucleotides) under uncultured bacterium. Its description in RNAcentral is "partial 16S ribosomal RNA". It matches the Rfam family "Bacterial small subunit ribosomal RNA", at positions 29 to 523 of the family's 1533-position model. The record is from RNAcentral.